CCUACGGGUGGCAGCAGUGAGGAAUAUUGGUCAAUGGACGGAAGUCUGAACCAGCCAUGCCGCGUGCAGGAAGACGGCUCUAUGAGUUGUAAACUGCUUUUGUACAAGGGUAAACCUGAAUACGUGUAUUCAGCUGCAAGUACUGUACGAAUAAGGAUCGGCUAACUCCGUGCCAGCAGCCGCGGUAAUACGGAGGAUCCAAGCGUUAUCCGGAGUUAUUGGGUUUAAAGGGUGCGUAGGCGGAUUGAUAAGUUAGAGGUGAAAUGUCCGAGCUUAACUCGGGAAUUGCCUUUAAUACUGUUGAUCUAGAGAGUAGAUGCGGUAGGCGGAAUGUAUGGUGUAGCGGUGAAAUGCUUAGAGAUCAUGCAGAACACCGAUUGCGAAGGCAGCUUACCAAUCUAUAUCUGACGUUGAGGCACGAAAGCGUGGGGAGCAAACAGGAUUAGAUACCCCAGUAGUC
RNAcentral lists this ribosomal RNA (460 nucleotides) under uncultured bacterium. RNAcentral's name for it is "partial 16S ribosomal RNA". It matches the Rfam family "Bacterial small subunit ribosomal RNA", at positions 338 to 795 of the family's 1533-position model. The record is from RNAcentral.